GACUGUAGUCGUUGCAGAUCAAUCCUUAGGUCGCUGGUUCGAAUCCGGCAGGUCGGAAUAUGAUUUUAAUUUUUCCUUUUU
RNAcentral lists this small RNA (81 nucleotides) under Oryza sativa Japonica Group (Japanese rice). RNAcentral describes it as "sRNA Os08g0369132". Lineage: Eukaryota; Viridiplantae; Streptophyta; Magnoliopsida; Poales; Poaceae. The record is from RNAcentral.